AUUGAACGCUGGCGGCAGGCCUAACACAUGCAAGUCGAACGAGUGGCGGACGGGUGAGUAAUGUCUGGGAAACUGCCCGAUGGAGGGGGAUAACUACUGGAAACGGUAGCUAAUACCGCAUACCAUCGGAUGUGCCCAGACGGGAUUAGCUAGUAGGUGGGGUAAUGGCUCACCUAGGCGACGAUCCCUAGCUGGUCUGAGAGGCUGACCAGCCACACUGGAACUGAGACACGGUCCAGACUCCUACGGGAGGCAGCAGUGGGGAAUAUUGCACAAUGGGCGAAAGCCUGAUGCAGCCAUGCCGCGUGUAUGAAGAAGGCCUUCGGGUUGUAAAGUACUGUUAUCGAGGAGGCGUUACUCACAGAAGAAGCACCGGCUAACUCCGUGCCAGCAGCCGCGGUAAUAC
Molecule: ribosomal RNA, 406 nt
Filed under: uncultured bacterium
Lineage: Bacteria
Description: partial 16S ribosomal RNA
Rfam family: Bacterial small subunit ribosomal RNA
Source: RNAcentral